RNAcentral lists this non-coding RNA (114 nucleotides) under unclassified sequences. RNAcentral's name for it is "c-di-GMP sequence". It matches the Rfam family "c-di-GMP-II-GAG riboswitch aptamer". The record is from Rfam by way of RNAcentral.
CCUCCGGGGGAAAGUAACGAUCCGAGCAGCCCACACCGACGCAUCCAUGCGCACGGAGACAGACGGUCGCCUAGGCGGCUCGGGGAGCGAGUGGCGAGACCGAACCCGCCCAGC